RNAcentral lists this long non-coding RNA (1524 nucleotides) under Cricetulus griseus (Chinese hamster). RNAcentral describes it as "lncRNA (ENSCGRG00015036687.1)". The record is from RNAcentral. Lineage: Eukaryota; Metazoa; Chordata; Mammalia; Rodentia; Cricetidae.
CAGAUGCCCCUCUUAGUUAAUCCUCUCUGGAAAAGCCUUUGACCAACCCAAAGGUAUACCUGUGUCUCCUAGGCGAUGCUAAAUCCAAUCAAAUAUGGCAACCAAAACUAGCUAUCACAACAUCUGGACCACAUAAGUCAUUCAUCCAGAGAAGUAUCCUACAUGCAAGACAUUAGAAGUAUCCGUGGUAGAUAUAUAACUUAGGUACAUCUUGGGCAGAGGUUUGGCAUUUUGACAGGGAGUCCUUCUGAGACCAUCCCAUGAGGAGAGACAACCAUGGUCUGACACAUUACUGACAGUAGAAAAUUUCAUCUGCGUCCAACACAGUGCCAAUAGUGUAACAAACGCAUCAACUUCUAAGAAGCCAGAUGAGAGACUACAUAUGAGUAACCUCAGGCAACCUGCCUGAAUUGUCCACAACCCACGAUGAAAAUUGAAAUCCUUUCCAAGAACCUUGACUCACGCAUACAGACCUAAGAUCCAGCUAGGUUUAACUUUUACUUCUCCGCGCACCACGGCAUCAAAAUUCAUUUCCCCAAAGAGCAAGGCAAUGCCAGAUUCCAAAAGAAGAGAAAAACAACCGGGUCAAGAAACCUUCCCACAUCACAAGCACGCUCAAACGCAGCGAGCUCACGUCCGAGGGGCACGGCGCUAGGUGGCAGAAGAGAGCCGGAGACGCGCUAGGCCGACUGCAGCAGCCGCUGAGCAUCUCUUCUAGUUCCUUCCCACUUUACCCUGGCUCAGGCCUCAAAGGCUCAGCCGAAUUCUAACAACAGGUUCUUCAUUAAGGGGUACACUGCUACGAGAUAAACAUGGCUUUUUCAGCCGCUCAAUUGCAUCCUAUUUGAAGAGAUUAUGCCCAUAUUCCAGGCUCCUUUGCUGUACAACGCUGUUUAGCAAACCAGUUCAAAACCCUGGCCCCACCCGGCACCCCUUCCCUCAGCAACACAAGCACAUCUAGUAUCUAUGGCAUAAUCUUCCCGGCUCCUGCUACAGGAAGCAGAUCCUGUGCUUUUGACAUGUGUCUCCAUCACUUAGAGCUAUGAAAUCCAGGGCAGCUGGCUUCAUCCUCCCGAGCUGCGUUUCACCAUCUGAAAAUGGAGGACAGCAUGAGGACUUUUCUCGAUAGGUCAUUUAUGAGACUGAGACGGCUAACUGUCACAGAUGACGUGAGAAGUCAGCAGAUGUUAGGUGCCGGCAGGGUUAGAUUUAUUAUGCCCACACGUCCACUCUCAGAGCUUGUGGGGCUAAGGUGGGCUUCUUAUGGUGACUAAGGAACGAAUUGGACCUGGCUUCUGGAAUCAUACUUCCUGGUGCUUCAAGCUCUUGAUGCAAAGGCAACACAUAGUUUAAUGAUGUUAGUUUAACCUGGGGGAGAAUCUAGGACGGAGAAAAUGCCCCUGUACCAUUACAGUUUGAAACAAGGGGUAUUGUGCUGCAGAUACGUGAAGCUAAAUCUCAGCUUUACUACUUAGUCCCCAGAUAACUUUGUCAAAGUUACAAUAUUCUCUCUGAACUUCGCUU